CCUCCUCCCACCCCUCCGCAUCCGAUUGAAACUCACAGCCGUGAAAGUAGCGCACAAGGUACCGUUCUGAACCCCUUUUUCCAACAAAAUUUAGGUAGCAAAGGGGGUUUUAAAAAUACUUCUGGCUGUAUUUUUCGCUGCGCUGUUCGGUGUCCAGCGAAGCCCUUCGCUAAGUAUUAUUUUUGUAAUCGCUUUUUAUUAUAUGGAGCAGAAAGCGGAGGGGGCAUUUGGAAUAGAGGUGGUCCCAUCUGGAAAAGCCCGCAGCUCAUUUAGAUCGCAUCACUUCGGGCUUUUGUCUCCGCUCCUGAAUAACGCAGCUAGGCACAACAAAAGGGCAGAGAGCUGCGCGGAGUUUUUCCAGCGGGGAGAGGACGCCUCGGGAAGACGCAUAUAACGAUGAUAACGGGGAAAAACGCGAGCUCCUCCCGGCGCUUUUAAUGCACGGGCAGAGUUUGGGGAUGGGGCGUUUUGGGGCCGUUUGCCACCCCUCCGGCUGCUGAAAAUCGGCGCGAGAUGAAGGACGGAGGAAUAAAGAGCAUCUUUUGUCUCUGCUAACUUCCCAGUACACUCCGAGCGGUCAGAACGGAGGUGAAGGCUAAGAAACGAAUUGCCACCGCGCUCACCACUAACAAAGUCUGAAGCACUUUCCCAACCCCUUUCCCAACGCACAGUAAUAAUGAUACAUUUAUCAUUACUGAUGACCACCCACUGCUUUAUUAUUGCUUUGUUGCGACGAUUACAAUCAAGAGAUUUCUUUAUUUACUGUUAACAUUCACUUAAAGCUGAAUGUUAAUGACUCUUCUGAAUUCACCAAAGAGUUGUCGGGUAUAUUUUAGGAGUAGUUACGGUUCGGAUUUCAGAAAUGGUGUAAAAAAGAUGCGGAAAGGCUGAGUGGUGCUUUGCUUUUUUAAUUAUUAUUGUUAUUUCUAACUCUUUGCUCUUCUUUCUGAGUCGGAUUUCCAACAAAGAGUUGCAAAAGGCUUUGGCAUAAUGCACGCACUUGCCUGUAGCUAAUUACGCGAGUAUUUUAUUACAGGAGAUUCA
This is a long non-coding RNA of Gallus gallus (chicken), 1044 nucleotides long. Lineage: Eukaryota; Metazoa; Chordata; Aves; Galliformes; Phasianidae. The record is from Ensembl.